RNAcentral lists this ribosomal RNA (460 nucleotides) under uncultured bacterium. Its description in RNAcentral is "partial 16S ribosomal RNA". It matches the Rfam family "Bacterial small subunit ribosomal RNA", at positions 338 to 795 of the family's 1533-position model. The record is from RNAcentral.
CCUACGGGGUGCAGCAGUGAGGAAUAUUGGUCAAUGGGCGCGAGCCUGAACCAGCCAAGUAGCGUGAAGGAUGACUGCCCUACGGGUUGUAAACUUCUUUUAUAAAGGAAUAAAGUGAGGCACGUGUGCCUUGUUGUAUGUACUUUAUGAAUAAGGAUAGGCUAACGCCGUGCAAGCAGCAGCGGUAAUACGGAGGAUCCGAGCGUUAUCCGGAUUUAUUGUGUUUAAAGGGAGCGUAGAUGGGUUGUUAAGUCAGUUGUGAAAGUUUGCGGCUCAAACGUAAAAUUGCAAUUGAUACUGGCAGCCUUGAGUACAGUUGAGGUAGGCGGAAUUCGUGGUGUAGCGGUGAAAUGCUUAGAUAUCACGAAGAACUCCGAUUGCGAAGGCAGCUUACUAAACUGCCACUGACAUUGAUGCUCGAAAGUGUGGGUAUCAAACAGGAUUAGAUACCCGAGUAGUC